Molecule: transfer RNA, 106 nt
Filed under: Escherichia coli K-12
Lineage: Bacteria; Pseudomonadati; Pseudomonadota; Gammaproteobacteria; Enterobacterales; Enterobacteriaceae
Description: tRNA from Escherichia coli K-12 (PDB 7N2V, chain Pt)
Rfam family: tRNA (bases 1-73)
About the family: Transfer RNA (tRNA) molecules are approximately 80 nucleotides in length. Their secondary structure includes four short double-helical elements and three loops (D, anti-codon, and T loops).
Source: RNAcentral
GGGUCGUUAGCUCAGUUGGUAGAGCAGUUGACUUUUAAUCAAUUGGUCGCAGGUUCGAAUCCUGCACGACCCACCAUCGCAGGUUCGAAUCCUGCACGACCCACCA